RNAcentral lists this ribosomal RNA (492 nucleotides) under uncultured bacterium. Its description in RNAcentral is "partial 16S ribosomal RNA". It matches the Rfam family "Bacterial small subunit ribosomal RNA", at positions 29 to 507 of the family's 1533-position model. The record is from RNAcentral.
AGUGAACGCUGGCGGUAGGCCUAACACAUGCAAGUCGAACGGCAGCACAGUAAGAGCUUGCUCUUACGGGUGGCGAGUGGCGGACGGGUGAGGAGUACAUCGGAAUCUACUUUUUCGGGGGGGAUAACGUAGGGAAACUUACGCUAAUACCGCAUACGACCUACGGGUGAAAGCAGUGGAUCUUCGGGCCUUGCGCGACUGAAUGUGCCGAUGUCGGAUUAGCUAGUUGGCGGGGUAAGGGCCCACCAAGGCGACGAUCCGUAGCUGGUCUGAGAGGAUGAUCAGCCACACUGGAACUGAGACACGGUCCAGACUCCUACGGGAGGCAGCAGUGGGGAAUAUUGGACAAUGGGCGCAAGCCUGAUCCAGCCAUACCGCGUGGGUGAAGAAGGCCUUCGGGUUGUAAAGCCCUGUUGUUGGGAAAGAAAAGCAGCAGAUUAAUCCCCCGCUGUUCUGACGGUACCCAAAGAAUAAGCCCCGGCUAACUUCGUG